CACGAAGCCUAGAAUUGCAGAUUUUGGUUGAGGAUUUUGGACCUGAGAUUGAUACUCCAUCAUUAUUCACUGGAUUUGGAACUUGCCUCAUCUGAAUUGGAGAUUAUUAGAUCUUUCGAGUAGCUUUGUUGCUGGUUGUGGGUGAUCUCGGCUGAGGCUUCCAACAAUUUGUGACCUUCUUGCUGUCAGGGAAU
This is a long non-coding RNA of Ananas comosus (pineapple), 194 nucleotides long. RefSeq lists it as uncharacterized. NCBI's taxonomy places the organism in Eukaryota, Viridiplantae, Streptophyta, Magnoliopsida, Poales, Bromeliaceae. The record is from RefSeq and is a predicted model, not a curated record. The transcript has 3 exons.